Molecule: ribosomal RNA, 492 nt
Filed under: uncultured Flavobacterium sp.
Lineage: Bacteria; Pseudomonadati; Bacteroidota; Flavobacteriia; Flavobacteriales; Flavobacteriaceae
Description: bacterial SSU rRNA
Rfam family: Bacterial small subunit ribosomal RNA
Source: RNAcentral
AGCCCAGAGAAAUUUGGAUUAAUACCUCAUAGUAUGUGAGAAUCGCAUGGUUUUCACAUUAAAGUUCCAACGGUAAAAGAUGAGCAUGCGUCCCAUUAGCUAGAUGGUAAGGUAACGGCUUACCAUGGCGACGAUGGGUAGGGGUCCUGAGAGGGAGAUCCCCCACACUGGUACUGAGACACGGACCAGACUCCUACGGGAGGCAGCAGUGAGGAAUAUUGGACAAUGGGCGCAAGCCUGAUCCAGCCAUGCCGCGUGCAGGAUGACGGUCCUAUGGAUUGUAAACUGCUUUUGUACAGGAAGAAACACUCCCUCGUGAGGGAGCUUGACGGUACUGUAAGAAUAAGGAUCGGCUAACUCCGUGCCAGCAGCCGCGGUAAUACGGAGGAUCCAAGCGUUAUCCGGAAUCAUUGGGUUUAAAGGGUCCGUAGGCGGUUUAAUAAGUCAGUGGUGAAAGCCCAUCGCUCAACGGUGGAACGGCCAUUGAUACUG